CCUACGGGUCGCACCAGUGGGGAAUAUUGCACAAUGGGCGCAAGCCUGGUGCAGCCAUGCCGCGUGUAUAAAGAAGGCCUUCGGGUUGUAAAGUACUUUCAGCGGGGAGGAAGGCGAUAAGGUUAAUAACCUUGUCAAUUGACGUUACCCGCAGAAGAAGCACCGGCUAACUCCGUGCCAGCAGCCGCGGUAAUACGGAGGGUGCAAGCGUUAAUCGGAAUUACUGGGCGUAAAGCGCACGCAGGCGGUCUGUCAGGUCGGAUGCGAAAUCCCCGGGCUCAACCUGGGAACUGCAUUCAAAACUGGCAGGCUAGAGUCUUGUAGAGGGGGGUAGAAUUCCAGGUGUAGCGGUGAAAUGCGUAGAGAUCUGGAGGAAUACCGGUGGCGAAGGCGGCCCCCUGGACAAAGACUGACGCUCAGGUGCGAAAGCGUGGGGAGCAAACAGGAUUAGAUACCCGCGUAGUC
Molecule: ribosomal RNA, 465 nt
Filed under: uncultured bacterium
Lineage: Bacteria
Description: bacterial SSU rRNA
Rfam family: Bacterial small subunit ribosomal RNA
Source: RNAcentral